RNAcentral lists this ribosomal RNA (493 nucleotides) under Streptococcus mutans. Its description in RNAcentral is "bacterial SSU rRNA". It matches the Rfam family "Bacterial small subunit ribosomal RNA", at positions 28 to 495 of the family's 1533-position model. Lineage: Bacteria; Bacillati; Bacillota; Bacilli; Lactobacillales; Streptococcaceae. The record is from RNAcentral.
GACGAACGCUGGCGGCGUGCCUAAUACAUGCAAGUGGGACGCAAGGGAACACACUGUGCUUGCACACCGUGUUUUCUUGAGUCGCGAACGGGUGAGUAACGCGUAGGUAACCUGCCUAUUAGCGGGGGAUAACUAUUGGAAACGAUAGCUAAUACCGCAUAAUAUUAAUUAUUGCAUGAUAAUUGAUUGAAAGAUGCAAGCGCAUCACUAGUAGAUGGACCUGCGUUGUAUUAGCUAGUUGGUAAGGUAAGAGCUUACCAAGGCGACGAUACAUAGCCGACCUGAGAGGGUGAUCGGCCACACUGGGACUGAGACACGGCCCAGACUCCUACGGGAGGCAGCAGUAGGGAAUCUUCGGCAAUGGACGAAAGUCUGACCGAGCAACGCCGCGUGAGUGAAGAAGGUUUUCGGAUCGUAAAGCUCUGUUGUAAGUCAAGAACGUGUGUGAGAGUGGAAAGUUCACACAGUGACGGUAGCUUACCAGAAAGGGACG